UUGAACGCUGGCGGCAUGCCUUACACAUGCAAGUCGAACGGUAACAGGUCUUCGGAUGCUGACGAGUGGCGAACGGGUGAGUAAUACAUCGGAACGUGCCCAGACGUGGGGGAUAACGAGGCGAAAGCUUUGCUAAUACCGCAUACGAUCUAAGGAUGAAAGCAGGGGACCGCAAGGCCUUGCGCGUUUGGAGCGGCCGAUGGCAGAUUAGGUAGUUGGUGGGAUAAAAGCUUACCAAGCCGACGAUCUGUAGCUGGUCUGAGAGGACGACCAGCCACACUGGGACUGAGACACGGCCCAGACUCCUACGGGAGGCAGCAGUGGGGAAUUUUGGACAAUGGGCGAAAGCCUGAUCCAGCAAUGCCGCGUGCAGGAUGAAGGCCUUCGGGUUGUAAACUGCUUUUGUACGGAACGAAAAGGAUCUGGCUAAUACCUGGGGCACAUGACGGUACCGUAAGAAUAAGCACCGGCUAACUACGUG
Molecule: ribosomal RNA, 481 nt
Filed under: uncultured bacterium
Lineage: Bacteria
Description: partial 16S ribosomal RNA
Rfam family: Bacterial small subunit ribosomal RNA
Source: RNAcentral